Molecule: non-coding RNA, 138 nt
Organism: Phyllosticta citrichinensis
Lineage: Eukaryota; Fungi; Ascomycota; Dothideomycetes; Botryosphaeriales; Phyllostictaceae
Source: the annotation of a GenBank genome assembly
GCAGCUUUAGCUCACUUGGGAGAGCGCCAGACUGAAGUCUCACUUCGGUUUCUCGAUCUACCAAAUGACCACCAUCAAAUGGUAGCAUCAGCCCUGUGCGGUAUCUGGAGGUACUGUGUUCGAUCCACAGAAGCUGCA